GCUUACGGCCAUACCACCCUGAAUGCGCCCGAUCUUGUCAGAUCUCGGAAGCUAAGCCACGUCAGGCCUGGUUAGUACUUGGAUGGGUGACCGCCUGGGAAUACCAGGUGCUGUAAGCU
Larimichthys crocea (large yellow croaker) is the source of this 119-nucleotide non-coding RNA. NCBI's taxonomy places the organism in Eukaryota, Metazoa, Chordata, Actinopteri, Sciaenidae. The record is from Rfam.